CCGAGUUUACAACUCCCAAACCCCUGUGAACAUACCUAUCGUUGCUUCGGCGGGAUCGCCCCGGCGCCCUCGGGCCCGGACCCAGGCGCCCGCCGGAGGACCCAAACCCUUGAUUCUAUGAGUAUCUUCUGAGUGAACAAGCAAAUAAAUUA
This 152-nucleotide unclassified non-coding RNA is filed under the name uncultured Fusicolla. RNAcentral's name for it is "sequence contains ITS1". Lineage: Eukaryota; Fungi; Ascomycota; Sordariomycetes; Hypocreales; Nectriaceae. The record is from RNAcentral.